UCGAGAAAGACUGCGGCCGUGUACUGGCGCA
RNAcentral lists this small RNA (31 nucleotides) under Bombyx mori (domestic silkworm). RNAcentral's name for it is "ovarian small RNA-28352". The record is from RNAcentral. Lineage: Eukaryota; Metazoa; Arthropoda; Insecta; Lepidoptera; Bombycidae.